RNAcentral lists this ribosomal RNA (368 nucleotides) under uncultured Methanoregula sp. RNAcentral's name for it is "bacterial SSU rRNA". It matches the Rfam family "Archaeal small subunit ribosomal RNA", at positions 119 to 488 of the family's 1478-position model. Lineage: Archaea; Methanobacteriati; Methanobacteriota; Methanomicrobia; Methanomicrobiales; Methanoregulaceae. The record is from RNAcentral.
GAUGUCUCACUGCUCCCCCGACAUACUGCGGGAAAUACCCCAUAGGUUAGGGAGGCUGGAAUGCCCCCUAGCUCAAAGGUCCGCCGCCACAGGAUGGGUCUGCGGCCGAUUAGGUUGUUGUUGGGGUAACGGCCCAACAAGCCUUUGAUCGGUACGGGUUGUGGGAGCAAGAGCCCGGAGAUGGAUUCUGAGACACGAAUCCAGGCCCUACGGGGCGCAGCAGGCGCGAAAACUUUACAAUGCGAGAAAUCGUGAUAAGGGAACCCCGAGUGCCCGUAAAUUCGGGCUGUCCGCCAGUGCAAAAAACUGGUGAAGAAAGAGCCGGGCAAGACCGGUGCCAGCAGCCGCGGUAAUACGAUCCCCCCGUG